CUUCACGGAGCCCAGCAGCAGCGGCUGUUCGGCGUCCCGGUCCUGGCCGUAGGUGGCGAGGAGUGCCUGGGCCUC
RNAcentral lists this antisense RNA (75 nucleotides) under Streptomyces noursei. RNAcentral describes it as "ASpks TB sRNA". It matches the Rfam family "ASpks TB sRNA". Lineage: Bacteria; Bacillati; Actinomycetota; Actinomycetes; Kitasatosporales; Streptomycetaceae. The record is from RNAcentral. RNAcentral also lists the same sequence under 1 other name.